RNAcentral lists this ribosomal RNA (694 nucleotides) under Calocybe sp. BAB-5176. Its description in RNAcentral is "eukaryotic LSU rRNA". The stretch from base 216 to 369 matches the Rfam family "5.8S ribosomal RNA". The record is from RNAcentral. Lineage: Eukaryota; Fungi; Basidiomycota; Agaricomycetes; Agaricales; Lyophyllaceae.
GACUUGGUCAAGUUGUUGCUGGCUCUCUCAAAGCAUGUGCACACUUGGCUCUUGUUUCUUUAAACCCACUUGUGCACCUUUUGUAGACUUUGGAAGAGUUUGAGUCGAGAGUGAUCUUGGCCCUUACACAUCCGAGUCUAUGUCUUUUUCAUAUCAUUUUACUCUGAGUAUAAAAAUGUUUUCUAAGGCAUUAUUAAUGCCUUUAAAUCAUAUACAACUUUCAACAACGGAUCUCUUGGCUCUCGCAUCGAUGAAAAACGCAGCGAAAUGCGAUAAGUAAUGUGAAUUGCAAAAUUCAGUGAAUCAUCAAAUCUUUGAACGCACCUUGCGCUCCUUGGUAUUCCGAGGAGCAUGCCAGUUUGAGUGUCAUGAAAUUCUCAACCUUUGUUACUUUUUUUGUUUCAAAGUGAAUGGAAGGGGAGGUGGCUGGCUUUUGGUUGAAAGAGAAGGCUCCUCUCAAAUAAAAUAAUGGGACCCAUCCCUGAUUAGCUCCCGGGCGUGAGAGUUAUCUACACCGGGGCUCAGCACAAUAUUGUGUGGGUCAGCUUUCUAACGAGACAACAACAACUGCCUUUGAUUAUUUUGACCUCAAAUCAGGUAGGACUACCCGCUCAACUUAAGCAUAUCAAUAAGCGGAGGAAAAGAAAAUAACAAGGAUUCCCCUACCCACUGCGAUGAGGGGGGAAAAGGGAAA